GACGAACGCUGGCGGCGUGCUUAACACAUGCAAGUCGAACGGGAUUUAGUAGACAGAAGCCUCGGCUAAAGAUUACUAAUGAGAGUGGCGAACGGGUGAGUAACGCGUGAGCAACCUGCCUAUGACAGUGGGAUAGCCUCGGGAAACCGGGAUUAAUACCGCAUAAAAUCGUAGAAACACAUGUUUCAACGGUCAAAGAUUUAUCGGCCAUAGAUGGGCUCGCGUCUGAUUAGCUAGUUGGUGAGAUAACAGCCCACCAAGGCGACGAUCAGUAGCCGGUCUGAGAGGAUGAACGGCCACAUUGGAACUGAGACACGGUCCAAACUCCUACGGGAGGCAGCAGUGGGGAAUAUUGCACAAUGGGGGAAACCCUGAUGCAGCGACGCCGCGUGAACGAAGAAGGUAUUCGUAUCGUAAAGUUCUGUCCUAUGGGAAGAUAAUGACAGUACCGUAGAAGAAAGCUCCGGCUAAAUACGUG
RNAcentral lists this ribosomal RNA (478 nucleotides) under uncultured bacterium. RNAcentral describes it as "partial 16S ribosomal RNA". It matches the Rfam family "Bacterial small subunit ribosomal RNA", at positions 28 to 507 of the family's 1533-position model. The record is from RNAcentral.